AGUGAACGCUGGCGGCAGGCCUAAUACAUGCAAGUCGAACGGCAGCACAGCAGAGCUUGCUCUGUGGGUGGCGAGUGGCGGACGGGUGAGGAAUACAUGGGAAUCUGCCCAGUCGUGGGGGAUAACGUAUGGAAACGUACGCUAAUACCGCAUGCGCCCUACGGGGGAAAGUCGGGGACCGCAAGGCCUGACGCGAUUGGAUGAGCCCAUGUUCGAUUAGCUAGUUGGCGGGGUAAAGGCCCACCAAGGCGACGAUCGAUAGCUGGUCUGAGAGGAUGAUCAGCCACACUGGAACUGAGACACGGUCCAGACUCCUACGGGAGGCAGCAGUAGGGAAUAUUGGACAAUGGGGGCAACCCUGAUCCAGCCAUGCCGCGUGAGUGAAGAAGGCCCUCGGGUUGUAAAGCUCUUUUGUCCGGAAAGAAAGCAAUCGGUUAAUACCCGGUUGUCUGACGGUACCGGAAGAUAAGCACCGGCUAACUUCGUGCC
Molecule: ribosomal RNA, 489 nt
Filed under: uncultured bacterium
Lineage: Bacteria
Description: bacterial SSU rRNA
Rfam family: Bacterial small subunit ribosomal RNA
Source: RNAcentral